RNAcentral lists this ribosomal RNA (427 nucleotides) under uncultured bacterium. RNAcentral's name for it is "partial 16S ribosomal RNA". It matches the Rfam family "Bacterial small subunit ribosomal RNA", at positions 355 to 774 of the family's 1533-position model. The record is from RNAcentral.
UGGGGAAUAUUGGACAAUGGGCGAAAGCCUGAUCCAGCCAUGCCGCGUGUGUGAAGAAGGUCUUCGGAUUGUAAAGCACUUUAAGUUGGGAGGAAGGGCAUUAACCUAAUACGUUAGUGUUUUGACGUUACCGACAGAAUAAGCACCGGCUAACUAUGUGCCAGCAGCCGCGGUAAUACAGAGGGUGCAAGCGUUAAUCGGAAUUACUGGGCGUAAAGCGCGCGUAGGUGGUUUGUUAAGUUGGAUGUGAAAUCCCCGGGCUCAACCUGGGAACUGCAUUCAAAACUGACUGACUAGAGUAUGGUAGAGGGUGGUGGAAUUUCCUGUGUAGCGGUGAAAUGCGUAGAUAUAGGAAGGAACACCAGUGGCGAAGGCGACCACCUGGACUAAUACUGACACUGAGGUGCGAAAGCGUGGGGAGCAAACA